RNAcentral lists this ribosomal RNA (253 nucleotides) under uncultured bacterium. Its description in RNAcentral is "partial 16S ribosomal RNA". It matches the Rfam family "Bacterial small subunit ribosomal RNA", at positions 524 to 776 of the family's 1533-position model. The record is from RNAcentral.
UACGUAGGGUGCAAGCGUUAAUCGGAAUUACUGGGCGUAAAGCGUGCGCAGGCGGUGAUGUAAGACAGAUGUGAAAUCCCCGGGCUCAACCCGGGAACUGCAUUUGUGACUGCAUCGCUGGAGUGCGGCAGAGGGGGAUGGAAUUCCGCGUGUAGCAGUGAAAUGCGUAGAUAUGCGGAGGAACACCGAUGGCGAAGGCAAUCCCCUGGGCCUGCACUGACGCUCAUGCACGAAAGCGUGGGGAGCAAACAGG